This 253-nucleotide ribosomal RNA is filed under the name uncultured bacterium. RNAcentral describes it as "partial 16S ribosomal RNA". It matches the Rfam family "Bacterial small subunit ribosomal RNA", at positions 524 to 776 of the family's 1533-position model. The record is from RNAcentral.
UACGUAGGGUCCGAGCGUUGUCCGGAUUCAUUGGGCGUAAAGAGCUCGUAGGCGGCCUGUUACGUCUGCUGUGAAAGCCCGGGGCUCAACUCCGGGUCUGCAGUGGAUACGGGCAGGCUAGAGUCCGGCAGGGGAGACUGGAAUUCCUGGUGUAGCGGUGAAAUGCGCAGAUAUCAGGAAGAACACCUAUGGCGAAGGCAGCUCUCUGGGACGGUACUGACGCUGAGACGCGAAAGCGUGGGGAGCGAACAGG